Molecule: long non-coding RNA, 513 nt
Filed under: Macaca fascicularis (crab-eating macaque)
Lineage: Eukaryota; Metazoa; Chordata; Mammalia; Primates; Cercopithecidae
Description: lncRNA (ENSMFAG00000047848.1)
Source: RNAcentral
UAUCAAUUUUUUCCUAUGUUGAGAAAAUCUUUUCCAUAUCUAUAAUUAGGCAUAUUUCUGGUUCUGAAUGUUAUGUAGUUUGCUGUUUCUCUUAUUUCUUCACUGUCAUUCCUGGAGAUCUGUACAUUUUAUUGGUAUUUUAAAAAAGUUUUAAUUUUACUGAUCAAGUCUACUCUGUUCUAUUUUGUUUUUGCUUUCAUAUACUAUGCUAUUACUACCUAUGUUCAGAGGGAAAAUAUUUUCGUAUAUUAUUAGUGAGAUUUUGAUGGUUAAAAUUUUAAUUUUUCAGGUAUUUGAUGAAUUUGAAAGAGAUACUUUAUUCCUCUUCGAAAGCCUGUUCUGCGUGCUACUGAACUCUCAGUUCAUCCGUGUGCACCACCAGCUGUGAGGGCAGAAUGUCUGCAUGGCCUCGGCCACCAAGUGAGCAGACACGGGGGUUGGAGGGACCAGAGAUGCACAGAGAAGUUCGAGGAUUCCCCCAGAGUUACCGAACCAGCACUGGAGCCAGGCGUG